RNAcentral lists this ribosomal RNA (477 nucleotides) under uncultured bacterium. RNAcentral's name for it is "SSU rRNA". It matches the Rfam family "Bacterial small subunit ribosomal RNA", at positions 26 to 518 of the family's 1533-position model. The record is from RNAcentral.
AGAAUGAACGCUGGCGGCGUGCUUAACACAUGCAAGUCGAACGGAAUACAAGGAGCUUGCUCCGAACUAUUUAGUGGCGAACGGGUGAGUAUCACGUGAGCAACCUGCCCCGAAGACUGGGAUAACACCGGGAAACCGGUGCUAAUACCGGAUGUCUUUCAAUGAUCGCAUGAUCGAUGAAAGAAAUGUUUUUUCGCUUUGGGAGGGGCUCGCGGUCCAUCAGCUUGUUGGCGGGGUAACGGCCUACCAAGGCGACGACGGGUAGCCGGCCUGAGAGGGCGACCGGCCACGACUGGGACUGAGACACGGCCCAGACUCCUACGGGAGGCAGCAGUGGGGAAUCUUGCGCAAUGGGCGAAAGCCUGACGCAGCAACGCCGCGUGGGGACGAAGGCCUUCUGGGUUGUAAACCCCUUUCAGCAGGGACGAUGAUGACGGUACCUGCAGAGAAGCCCGGCAACUACGUGCCAGCAGCCGC